UACGCUGUGGCCGAGCAGUGAGGCACGCGAUUGCAACCCGCGCCACGAGGGUGCAAAUCCCUCCAGCGUAU
RNAcentral lists this transfer RNA (71 nucleotides) under Verrucomicrobiales bacterium. Its description in RNAcentral is "tRNA-Cys". It matches the Rfam family "tRNA". From Rfam's summary of the family: Transfer RNA (tRNA) molecules are approximately 80 nucleotides in length. Lineage: Bacteria; Pseudomonadati; Verrucomicrobiota; Verrucomicrobiia; Verrucomicrobiales. RNAcentral also lists the same sequence under 1 other name. The record is from RNAcentral.